Molecule: transfer RNA, 67 nt
Filed under: Marmota monax (woodchuck)
Lineage: Eukaryota; Metazoa; Chordata; Mammalia; Rodentia; Sciuridae
Description: tRNA.Ala
Rfam family: tRNA
About the family: Transfer RNA (tRNA) molecules are approximately 80 nucleotides in length.
Source: RNAcentral
GGUAUAGCUCAGUUGGUAGAGUGCUUGUCUUGCAAGUCCAAGGCCCUGGGUUCAAUCCCCAGCACCA